UGCGGCUCCGGCCUCAUCUUCAGACCCUGCGGCAGCAGCGGCUACGACUGCGGCUGCGGGCCAGACCCCGGCCUCCGCGAAAGCCUCUGCGCAGACCCCGGCGCCCCCACUGACUGGUCCUGCUCUCCCAGGGCCCUUCCCUGGUGGCCCCGUGGUCAGGCUGCACCCAGUCAUUUUGGCCUCCAUCGUGGACAGCUACGAGCGACGAAACGAGGGAGCUGCCCGUGUUAUCGGGACCCUGCUGGGAAGUGUUGACAAGCACUCAGUGGAGGUCACCAAUUGCUUUUCAGUGCCACAUAAUGAGUCAGAAUAUGAAGUGGCUGUUGACAUGGAAUUUGCUAAGAACAUGUAUGAAUUGCACAAAAAAGUCUCUCCAAAUGAGCUCAUCCUGGGCUGGUACGCUACAGGCCACGACAUCACAGAGCACUCUGUGCUGAUCCAUGAGUACUACAGCCGGGAAGCCCCCAACCCCAUUCACCUCACUGUGGACACAAGUCUCCAGAACGGCCACAUGAGCAUCAAAGCCUAAGACAGCACUUUAAUGGGUGUCCCUAGAUGGACCAUGGGAGUGAUGUUCACACCUCUGACAGUGAAAUAUGCAUAUUAUGACACUGAACGCAUUGGUGUUGACCUGAUCAUGAAGACCUGUUUUAGUCCCAACCGAGUGAUCGGACUCUCAAGUGACUUGCAGCAAGUAGGAGGGGCAUCAGCUCGCAUCCAGGAUGCCUUAAGCACAGUGUUGCAGUAUGCAGAGGAUGUGCUGUCUGGAAAGGUGUCAGCUGACAAUACUGUGGGUCGCUUCUUGAUGAGCCUGGUUAACCAAGUACCCAAAAUAGCUCCUGACGACUUCCAGACCAUGCUCAACAGCAACAUCAAUGACCUGCUGAUGGUGAUCUACCUGGCCAAUCUCACACAGUCUCAGAUUGCCCUCAAUGAAAAGCUUGUAAACCUGUGAAUAGGCCCCAGGCAGAACUCCUGCCAGUCUGGGUCUCACCCUAGGACUCAGUAUGAAGUGAAGGCGAAAUGGUUUCUUUGUGCUCUUGAGUCACACUGAGCCAGUCAGCUGCUAGUGACUCUAAUAAACAUGGCCUACCUUUUGUAAAU
Non-coding RNA from Microcebus murinus (gray mouse lemur), 1104 nucleotides. NCBI's taxonomy places the organism in Eukaryota, Metazoa, Chordata, Mammalia, Primates, Cheirogaleidae. The record is from RefSeq and is a predicted model, not a curated record.